CUUACAUGUUAGAGCAGUGAUGAGAGUGCAGAGGCUCCCCAGCAUGUUGUCAGUGUGUGAUGACAAUGUUGUUGUGUCUCUCAAAGUUUCCU
Molecule: long non-coding RNA, 92 nt
Organism: Myripristis murdjan (pinecone soldierfish)
Lineage: Eukaryota; Metazoa; Chordata; Actinopteri; Holocentriformes; Holocentridae
Exons: 3
Source: RefSeq, a predicted model, not a curated record